CGGAGCAAAAUAUUUAAGAGUUUUGGGACUCAAUCAACAUGGAGAUGAUUGGCCGUGGCUUUGCAGACAGUCGGGGUUGUGUGCAAAUUGUGCAAAACGUGCAACAUCAACUCCAAAGGAUCCUGUCAGGACCUCUUCAUGCGAAUCAGAGCGGAGAUGAAAAAUAGAGCCACAUAUGACAAGUUGUUCCAAAAAGUCAGGGAAGCUUCUGGUGGAUGGUCUGUCGUUCUAUGUCCGCAUGAUGGAGACCUUUGCGGACCACACUGUGAGGUGUUAACCUCAUGUGAAAAGAUCUUGCCGUGCAGAGCGUCCUGUAGGGGUGCAUCCAGCUCAACAAGCACUUCUGGACUACGCGUUGGACGUAGAAAAACCAGAACAGGAGCUGAUUGUUUGCACCGGUGUGUCUGACCCGUGGGGACUUCUGGACAUUAGAGUGGAACAAAUACAUGGAAUAGAGAUUUUCAGGUGGGAAAUGAUUACUUGGACCUGGUUGGACAGAGAGCACGAGCAAA
Molecule: long non-coding RNA, 512 nt
Organism: Siniperca chuatsi (mandarin fish)
Lineage: Eukaryota; Metazoa; Chordata; Actinopteri; Centrarchiformes; Sinipercidae
Exons: 6
Source: RefSeq, a predicted model, not a curated record